UGGGGAAUCUUGGACAAUGGGCGCAAGCCUGAUCCAGCCAUGCCGCGUGAGUGAAGAAGGCCUUCGGGUUGUAAAGCUCUUUUACCAGGGACGAUAAUGACGGUACCUGGAGAAUAAGCCCCGGCAAACUUCGUGCCAGCAGCCGCGGUAAUACGAAGGGGGCUAGCGUUAAUCGGAGUUACUGGGCGUAAAGCGCACGUAGGCGGGUCUGUAAGUAGAGGGUGAAAUCCCAGGGCUCAACCCUGGAACUGCCUUCUAGACUGCAGGCCUGGAGGUCAGGAGAGGCGAGCGGAAUUCCGAGUGUAGAGGUGAAAUUCGUAGAUAUUCGGAGGAACACCAGUGGCGAAGGCGGCUCGCUGGACUGAUACUGACGCUGAGGUGCGAAAGCGUGGGGAGCAAACAGGAUUAGAUACCCCUGUAGUCCCUGAGCGGGCUGGCAAGGCGCAU
Molecule: ribosomal RNA, 447 nt
Filed under: uncultured bacterium
Lineage: Bacteria
Description: bacterial SSU rRNA
Rfam family: Bacterial small subunit ribosomal RNA
Source: RNAcentral